This 203-nucleotide unclassified non-coding RNA is filed under the name Hevea brasiliensis (rubber tree). The record is from RNAcentral. Lineage: Eukaryota; Viridiplantae; Streptophyta; Magnoliopsida; Malpighiales; Euphorbiaceae.
GGCACUCUGUGAGGUGUUGGACGUAGAAGCUAGGGAGGUUAGUAGAAACCUGGUUUGCAAGAAGAGUAGUAGUUUUCUGGUGUAUAUAGGGAAAAGGGAAGACAGAAGUAAUUCCAACUCCGAGAUGUGUUGGUUGACAAUUGACAUUAGCCAUUCCCUGACAGACGUAUUUUGAAGGAGGUUAUGCGAGUUGGCUCUUGAGA